Molecule: ribosomal RNA, 326 nt
Filed under: uncultured eukaryote
Lineage: Eukaryota
Description: partial 18S ribosomal RNA
Rfam family: Eukaryotic small subunit ribosomal RNA
Source: RNAcentral
CCCUUAGAUGUUCUGGGCCGCACGCGCGCUACACUGAUGCAUUCAACAAGCCUAGCCUUGACCGAGAGGUCCGGGUAAUCUUUGAAACCGCAUCGUGAUGGGGCUAGAUUAUUGCAAUUAUUAAUCUUCAACGAGGAAUGCCUAGUAAGCGUGAUUCAUCAAAUCGCGUUGAUUACGUCCCUGCCCUUUGUACACACCGCCCGUCGCUCCUACCGAUUGAAUGUGUUGGUGAGGAGCUCGGAUUGGCAGCAGUUGGUGGUUCGCCACCGGCUAUUGCUGAGAAGUCCUCCAAACCGCCCCAUUUAGAGGAAGGAGAANUCGUAACA